UCUAAUAUGGCAGAAUAGUGCAAUGAACUUAAGCUUCAUAUAUAAAGUUAAAACUUUUUUUAGAA
Molecule: transfer RNA, 65 nt
Filed under: Onthophagus clypeatus
Lineage: Eukaryota; Metazoa; Arthropoda; Insecta; Coleoptera; Scarabaeidae
Description: tRNA-Leu
Rfam family: tRNA
About the family: Transfer RNA (tRNA) molecules are approximately 80 nucleotides in length.
Source: RNAcentral